Molecule: long non-coding RNA, 1789 nt
Organism: Monodelphis domestica (gray short-tailed opossum)
Lineage: Eukaryota; Metazoa; Chordata; Mammalia; Didelphimorphia; Didelphidae
Source: Ensembl
CCCAUCAACCCUUAGGCACACUUCAACUUUGCUUUGCUUUGGUUACAGGAUUCUCUUCUGAGACUUCAGGGACACUGAAGAAAGUGAGUGGAUCUGACCAGGGAAGAAAACCAACAGACUCUACCAGUAUCCCUAUGACUGGCUUCACUGGGAGAGAUUCCAUUACAGACACUGAAAGAGACAUAUGUGUCAUGGAGACAACUCUAAGAGCCACAGCCACUCAAGCCCCACUUCUCACUGUGCACACUGGAGCAGGUGACCUCAUCCCUGGGAUGCACAGGAGAACUGUGUCCUCUCCCACUUCACCAUCAGCUCCAAGAGAGAUAUCCUCUGGAGUCACCAUUGCCAUUGCAAGGCCCUCACUCUCCAUGACUCCAGUAGAACCCACAGCUAGCCCUGGCUCCAGUGGUCCCUUGAACAUCAGCCUAUCUGGGACAAUUUUUUCUACACCCCUUGCACAAACACCUAUAGCUGAAAUAGCUCCUGGAGAGAGUUCCAGCACCCCCCCCCCUUCUCUAUGGUCCACUUCAGUUGAUUCUUUCAAUACUGUUGGCUCAGCCCCAGGAACUGAAAUCACCUCCAUUGUGCCUCUAUAUUCACUUCCAACAGCCUCAAGUGCCACAGAAACCACACCAAAUCCUGAUUUGUCAGUGAGACCUACCACACUAGAGCCAGGCUCAGCUGCCCUAACUUCCACUGCUCCCACCAUCAUUCCAACACCGUCUGAGGAAGACACAAACACCUCACUGGUGUCUAUAGAAGGACCAACAGAAGAUAAAACAGUGUCCAGCACCUUCCCAGCAAAUGCAGACACCCCUGGUAUCACUCACAGGGAGCACUUCUUCACAGGUCCUGGAGUAACUUUUCACCCUGACAUGGCCUCUACUUCUCUGCCCAAUUUAUGUGAAGGGAUCAGUUAUUCCAGAAAUAUCCCCUCACCCUCUUUAGAAAGUAGGAAAAGCACUGCCAUGAUUGGAGUCUGGACAAGCCCAGCUGUACCUCACACUGUGGAGCCUAAGAAGCCCACCCCUGCUGAGGAUUCCCUCUGUAUUGGACCAGUGACUGAAUUUAGCAGCAGGGAAAGUGGACAUAUAAAGAAUAGCUUGGCCUCUGCUGUGACCUUUAACUCUCCACUACCAAGCCCCAUUGCUUCUAGCAGCAUGGAUGUAGACUCAGAAAUGGCGUUAGGAUUAUCUCUCUGGACAGACAGCUCCUCAUCACAAGUAGAAGUCAGUUUUCCUUAUCUCUUUUCCACCACAGGAGAUGGACCUUCCCUGGGAACAGAACCUCACAAUCCCAUCCACGAAUCUCUGAGCCCAGGGCCAGGCUCCUUUCCUGCCUUAAGUACUCCCACAGCCUGCACAAGCACAGCUUCCCUUGAAACUGCUACUUCAUUGGAGGACCCAGGGCCAGCCAGCCUGACUCCAGAGACUGAGAGAAACCCACAGGCAACACCAACUCCAGUUAUCACCCUGCCUCCAGCCAGCACACAGGAAGUUUGCACAACAGCAUCUCCCAGUCCUUCUGACACAACCACAGAGGGCAACAGUGUCAAGUCAGGGACAACCUCUGUUUCUGAUCAAGUGCCUUCCACUUCCAGCCUCUUCCCAAGUAGUGAUGCUGGUGUGGUGCCAGUCACACAUGCCCAAGGCCAUGAAGCACCAGGAAGCACAGGAGCACUGAUGAGGAGCCCCCUGACAUCUAUGUGUUCUAUUAUGCCCACAGGUAAGUAGGUAUCUCGUCUCUGUCUCUGUGUUGGAGGUUUAUCCUUUUUAGGGCCUUGUUUACC